Non-coding RNA from Aphanomyces astaci, 78 nucleotides. The record is from the annotation of a RefSeq genome assembly. Lineage: Eukaryota; Oomycota; Saprolegniomycetes; Saprolegniales; Verrucalvaceae.
UCGCCGAUAGCUCAAGCGGUAGAGAAUUGGGCUUAACGUUACAACCAAAAUGUCCCGAGUUCAAUUCCGGUUGUUUAU